This 253-nucleotide ribosomal RNA is filed under the name uncultured bacterium. RNAcentral describes it as "partial 16S ribosomal RNA". It matches the Rfam family "Bacterial small subunit ribosomal RNA", at positions 524 to 776 of the family's 1533-position model. The record is from RNAcentral.
UACAGAGGGUGCGAGCGUUGUCCGGAAUCACUGGGCGUAAAGGGCGCGUAGGUGGCGACCCAAGUCCAUGGUGAAAGCUCGAUGCUCAACAUCGAGUCGGCCACGGAUACUGGGUUGCUGGAGCACUGUAGAGGCAGAUGGAAUUCCGGGUGUAGCGGUGGAAUGCGUAGAGAUCCGGAAGAACACCGGUGGCGAAGGCGGCAUCCUGGACCGACACUGACGCUGAGGAGCGAAAGCCAGGGGAGCAAACGGG